GCUGGGCGUGGUGGCGUGAGCCUGUAGUCCUAGCUACUUGGGAGGCUGAGGCAGAAGAAUUGCUUGAACCCAGGAGGUGGAGGCUGCAGUGAGCUGAGAUUGCGCCACUGCACUCCAGCCUGGGCAACAGAGUAAGACUCUGUCUCAA
Unclassified non-coding RNA from Papio anubis (olive baboon), 148 nucleotides. It matches the Rfam family "Metazoan signal recognition particle RNA". From Rfam's summary of the family: The signal recognition particle (SRP) is a universally conserved ribonucleoprotein. It is involved in the co-translational targeting of proteins to membranes. NCBI's taxonomy places the organism in Eukaryota, Metazoa, Chordata, Mammalia, Primates, Cercopithecidae. The record is from Ensembl.